UCUACACAUUAACCAAUUUUCACUCUCCGUAAGAAUGGAAGCCAUUUCAAAUGUUCAACCGUGCCACCCUGCCUACGUGAAUCACCAUUUCUUCAUAUUAAUGACAAUCCCCUUUUGGUAUUGAGAGGACAAGAACACUCACUAGCAACUCAAAGGAGGAAAAAAAAACAAAAUAUAGACCAGGAUAUCAAGAGAUAAAUUCAGGACAAAAGAAAAGGGGAAAACAAAUUUCAGGACCACGUAUCGAAGAACCAGAGAUGAGGAUUCUGGCUUGUGUCCUGACGCACAGGGGAGUUUGACUCAGCACACAACUUUCCAUCUCCCAGGGAAGCUACAAUGUGCAAUACCUGAUUACUUAUUUCUUAAGACAUAGUUGGCCCACCAAGACUAAUAUGAGGCCCAAGGCCUCUUCUUCUAUCUCAAAAACCCAACAUAUGUCACACAUGCAGAAGACAGCUAAAGAAAAGAAGACUCCACUAUGAAGUUUAAGACUGAGGCCUGUUAGCAGUGGGGCAUCUUUAGUGCCAACUACCCCAAGGAGAAUACACACAUUUUUAAAUGAUCAGAUGCUCUAGUCUAUUACGUCAUGGAGGGUUUUUUUAAAAAAAAGAGAAGCAUAAAAAUAUAUUAGAUAUGCUUUAGGAAGCCUUAUUUUGAACAAGUAUUCUUUUGACCAUGCUACAUUAAACCUUUCCUUGACAAUUAAUAUGUUAUCUUCAGAUUAAACCAUAAACAACCGUUUUAAUAGCUUAAUGUACUCUAUGAACCAAGUAAUCACAAUAAGCCAUAAUGCUUUUUUUUUUGUUUAGUGUGCUGUGUGAGCUACUGUAGUUUACCAUGUUUGACGUUUUACCAUCCGUAAUAACCACUGCCUGAAUGUGAUUUAGAGGGUAAUUAAUUAAUUACAAAGAUGCCAAAUGCCAAUUAAUUAAUUAAUUACAAAGAUGCCAAAUGUUUUAGUUUUUUUGCUACGAGAACAGUGGUAAUCUUAAGAGGCACCACUCCCUUUUUUG
Thamnophis elegans (Western terrestrial garter snake) is the source of this 1013-nucleotide long non-coding RNA. RefSeq lists it as uncharacterized. The transcript has 3 exons. Lineage: Eukaryota; Metazoa; Chordata; Lepidosauria; Squamata; Natricidae. The record is from RefSeq and is a predicted model, not a curated record.